CCCCUUCUUUGUCCUACUUAGGUGCCUAGCUGCCACAUCCCAAGUUUGUCGUCAGCUAACCAUCCACGCCUAGCCAAAAGCGCCAUAGUGGUGAGAGAAGGUGUUAGCCGAAGGAGCGAAUUGGUUCGUCGUCGGUGAUUUCCGUCGAUACCGGUUCUUCGUCCUCAGUGCUAGGCCGAGGGAGGGUCGCCAUCGUCCGUGAAGCCGUGCGUGGCCGCGGUUGAAGUCAAGUGCCUUCGUCGCGUGGUGAAUUGCUCGCCGUUGCUGGGAAAUUUCUACCGACCGUGCAAUCACGUGGACAGAGCCGCUAUCAUCAUAAAUCAGAG
This 326-nucleotide long non-coding RNA is filed under the name Zea mays. RNAcentral's name for it is "long non-coding RNA NONZMAT002259". Lineage: Eukaryota; Viridiplantae; Streptophyta; Magnoliopsida; Poales; Poaceae. The record is from RNAcentral.